AUUCCAGCUCCAAUAGCGUAUAUUAAAGUUGUUGCAGUUAAAACGCUCGUAGUCGGAUUUCGGGGCGGGCCGACCGGUCUGCCGAUGGGUAUGCACUGGCCGGCGCGUCCUUCCUUCCGGAGACUGCGCCUACUCUUAGCUGAGCGGGCGUGGGAGACGGAUCGUUUACUUUGAAAAAAUCAGAGUGUUUCAAGCAGGCAGCUCGCUCUUGCAUGGAUUAGCAUGGGAUAAUGAAAUAGGACUCUGGUGCUAUUUUGUUGGUUUCGAACACCGGAGUAAUGAUUAACAGGGACAGUCAGGGGCACUCGUAUUCCGUCGAGAGAGGUGAAAUUCUCAGACCAAUGGAAGACGAACCACUGCGAAAGCAUUUGCCAGGGAUGUUUUCAUCA
RNAcentral lists this ribosomal RNA (389 nucleotides) under Algirosphaera sp. RNAcentral describes it as "partial small subunit ribosomal RNA". It matches the Rfam family "Eukaryotic small subunit ribosomal RNA", at positions 582 to 975 of the family's 1831-position model. The record is from RNAcentral. Lineage: Eukaryota; Haptophyta; Syracosphaerales; Rhabdosphaeraceae.